This 352-nucleotide long non-coding RNA is filed under the name Panax ginseng (ginseng). RNAcentral describes it as "long non-coding RNA (PGIN_LNC016747)". Lineage: Eukaryota; Viridiplantae; Streptophyta; Magnoliopsida; Apiales; Araliaceae. The record is from RNAcentral.
UCGGAUGGCAGAGUUGAGAGACGAAGAGCUCAGUUAUGAUCAGUCCGAAGAGCAAGGGCAUCGGAGUGGGAAGGAACCUGCUCAUUCAGGGCGAGAAUCUCGGGGCCGAACCAGGGAAAGAAGAAGAUCCCGAAGCCCUACUCCUCAGAGAUCAAAGAGGACAUAUCACCCUGCCGAUUCUAGGGGACAGGGACGAAGCGAACGAAGAGGUCGAUCCAGAGAUCGCACUCCUGAGCAUACAAAGAAAGCACUUGUUGUUGCCCAUUCUCACCAUAGCGCCCGAGUUUAGAGGCGAAGUAUAUCAAGAGGUCAUACUCCCGAGAGUCUACUGAGGGUACACCGCCCUGUAGAC